Molecule: ribosomal RNA, 668 nt
Filed under: Moesziomyces antarcticus
Lineage: Eukaryota; Fungi; Basidiomycota; Ustilaginomycetes; Ustilaginales; Ustilaginaceae
Description: eukaryotic LSU rRNA
Rfam family: Eukaryotic large subunit ribosomal RNA
Source: RNAcentral
CAUCGGCCUCAGAUUGGUAGGACUACCCGCUGAACUUAAGCAUAUCAAUAAGCGGAGGAAAAGAAACUAACAAGGAUUCCCCUAGUAACGGCGAGUGAAGAGGGAAGAGCCCAAGAUUGAAAGCUGGCGUCUUCGGCGUCCGCAUUGUAAUCUCAAGAAGUGUUUUCCGCUUCGGACCAAGCCUAAGUCCCCUGGAAAGGGGCAUCAUAGAGGGUGAUAAUCCCGUACAUGGCUUGGAGCGCCCGAGGCUUUGUGAUACGCUUUCUAAGAGUCGAGUUGUUUGGGAAUGCAGCUCAAAAUGGGUGGUAAAUGCCAUCUAAGGCUAAAUAUUGGGGAGAGACCGAUAGCGAACAAGUACAGUGAUGGAAAGAUGAAAAGAACUUUGAAAAGAGAGUUAAACAGUACGUGAAAUUGCCAAAAGGGAAGGGUAGGAGGUCAGAGAUGCGGCCUGGGAUUCAGCCUUGCUUUUGCUUGGUGUUUUUCCCAGAUUGCAGGCCAACGUCGGUUUUGGGCACUGGAGAAGGGUAGGAGGAACGUGGCACCCCUCGGGGUGUGUUAUAGCCUCCUACUGGAUACAGCGACCGAGACCGAGGACAGCAGCGUACUCGCAAGAGCGGGCCUUCGGGCACCUUUACGCUUAGGGCGUUGGCAUAAUGGCCCUCUACCAC